This 931-nucleotide small RNA is filed under the name Drosophila pseudoobscura pseudoobscura. RNAcentral's name for it is "GA31310". The record is from RNAcentral. Lineage: Eukaryota; Metazoa; Arthropoda; Insecta; Diptera; Drosophilidae.
ACCGCCCACCACCCGCUGCCCACCGCCCGCCGCGUCAUCUGUUCGAUUUACAGGCUGGUAAAUUUUCGUAUUUUCAAAUUUCCUAUUUGAAGUCUUUCAUAAUCGCAGAACCAUUUAAAUGCUAAUUAUUGCGUGUAAAAAUAGAUUUCUGUUUUUAAAUCGAAGCAAAUAGGAUUUGCAUGUGCGACGGGUUGUAAAGCCUGAUUUAUUUUCCAACCCAAUGGCCAAUUCCCUUAAUGGCAAAAUCAGUUCAAAUACUGCCAAUUCCAUGCAUAAAGGCCUUCCUAUCCGAGAUUCCCUAAGACCAGAAAGAGAGGACUAGGCUACACUGAGGCGGAAAGAGAGGAACGAGCACUGCUAUAUCGUCUUCGCCGUCGUCGUUGUCGUUGCUUUGUCGUGGCCUGCCCCAAAUUAAUUUAUAAAUAGUUCGUUUGGGGGCAAGAACGCUUCCCCACUCGGCUGUUAUCUAUGAGAGGCGGUGUGAGAGGCGGCCGCAUAAAACAGCGAAAAGGAAAAACAAAAGACGAGCAUUUUGCAAAAUACAACAGAAAAAAAUUUGAAUUUUUGUACUAGCUGCUAAGAUCAAAACCUGAGUCAUGGGGGAAGGCGUUUUGGACACCAUUGGGAUGCCGAUGCCGAUGCCGAUGCCCAUGCCGAUGCCGAUGCCUUGAGGCUGCCAAUUGCCAACAUUUUCCUCAAUGAGCAAUUCUUCGCUGAGUUAUGCCACACGCAAUUGUGGUUACCAUCCAAAUUUUCCCAUAAACCAUGGGCCAGAGGGGGGCAGCGGUAGAGAGAGUAUGAAUGAAUAGGAACAGAGAGCUGUGUUUGAAUUUCAGCUAAAAUCUGCAACAUAUCAACAUGUUUUGGCCAACAUAUUUCUUGAACAAAUAAACUUAAAACCGGGCAAAUAUGCGGGAAUUUCAAGGCAGUA